AAAACGCUUACGCUUAAUCCUGGCAACAGGAGCGGGGGAACCAAGAUUUUGGGGUGAACCGUAUGGAGGGCUAUUUCCAGGUCCUAACCCGUCAGCUAACCUCGUCAGCGUAUGGAAAGGAGUA
Molecule: small RNA, 124 nt
Filed under: Bacillus thermozeamaize
Lineage: Bacteria; Bacillati; Bacillota; Bacilli; Caryophanales; Bacillaceae
Description: c-di-AMP sequence
Rfam family: c-di-AMP riboswitch aptamer (ydaO/yuaA leader)
About the family: This family represents a conserved RNA structure found upstream of the ydaO and yuaA genes in Bacillus subtilis and related genes in other bacteria. The ydaO/yuaA element is thought to act as a genetic "off" switch for the ydaO and yuaA genes in its native state.
Source: RNAcentral